Long non-coding RNA from Acinonyx jubatus (cheetah), 2296 nucleotides. RefSeq lists it as uncharacterized. The record is from RefSeq and is a predicted model, not a curated record. Lineage: Eukaryota; Metazoa; Chordata; Mammalia; Carnivora; Felidae. The transcript is spliced from 5 exons.
GCCCGGGGCCCAGAGACGACAAUGAAGCUGGCGGGCUGACCCAGCUGCUUCAGCUCGCGCCCGGGUAACCACGGCAACCGCAGGCUUCAGGAAUGCGCGCUAAUUGAAGGCCGAGUUUCCUCCCACGGUGAUGAGCAACAAGUGAAGCAAAAAUAGGUCGUGAAGAGCUAAGUGGACGCCCUUUACCCUUCAGACAUCUUGGGGCAAAAUUGUCAGUGAACAGUCCUUAACCAUCUCUGUGCUGGGCCCCUUUGAUCGGUCCUGGUAAAUGAAUGGCGAUGUGUACAUCCCUAGGACCCCACAAAUGAAACGCCAACUAGCAGCGAGGGUCCGGCAGGUGAAGGAAGGAGCCGACCCUCAUUUGCUCCCAGUUUCCCUGGAUCUUCUGUUCUGUUCUCUUCAACCGAAAGGAGAACCUUCAAGGCGGUCACAUUUAUGGGGCGACCAUGAUACCAGUUUGGACAGUCAGCACCAGGCUGGGGCUGGCAAAGAGGAAGAGAAGGAGGAGGAGGGACCUUGGCAUCAAGGAGCCUUUCUUAACGGCCAGAACGUCACAGGGGUGGCAACACAAUGGGAUUCAGAUUGAGGCGGCAUUGACACCGGGCUGAGAGUCAAUGUUUCCGGUACAGCUGAGCCAAACAAGGGAGAAGCUUAGAGUCCCAUUCUACCACCUGGAAGGGAGCUACCCAGAGACGUUCCAGGCUUCCUUUCAGUUAUGAUACCCUUCCAACAAAUUCUUUUCCCGCGGAAGUUGCUCACCUCCGUCGCUUUCAACCACAUCCCUGAUGGAUCUAUCACCAGUAACGAUUUCAACAGCCAGAUGAAGAAUGAUGACCAGUGAGAUUAAACCAUGUUAUCUCACUUGGGACUGUAUGCAUUGAUUGCACUGACCCUUUAUAAAGCAACAAAUAUAUACUCAGCACUGACUAACGUUUAAGAAGCAUAAAGUAUUAGGUACAGAUUCUGACCGUUUGUCACUAAAAACAAAAAAACAUUCACACCAGCCUCUUUAUACCUGACACUCUGCGGGGCAUUACAGAUAUGAAGACAAAUGAGAGUUGGUCCUAUAUCUGAAGACCACGUGGUCCAGUGCUACUGAGAAGCUUCCAGUGUUGUGGGAGAAAUCAAGACGAGUACGCAUGCAGUACCAGGGUUACUACUCACACGAGGUAAAACUAGAAUACAAGACUGGCAGGUUCUGUCCUUGGCCCUUUCCACUUUAUAAAAUCUUCCCGGGUGACUCAUCUACUCUUUCAUGGUUCUGAUUAUCACUCAGGAUUCUCAAAUCUGUCUUCUCGGAUCCUGGCUUCUCCACUGAGUUCCAGACCUAUGUUUCUAGUCAGCAAGACAUCCGUACCUUGGUUCCCAUAGGCCUCUUGUUCAACUUGUCGCGAACCAAAGUCACUCUCCUGCCUCCCCAACCUGGUUUCCAACCUGUGUCCUCUCUUAGUUGAUGGAACACCUGCCUACCCAGCUAGCUAGAAAUCAUGGUAUCCUUUUGACUCCUCCCUCUCUCCUCUCUCCUUUUAUACAUUAGUCACCAAGAUCCGUCACCUUCCACCUCAGAAAUGCUUCUGUGUUGUUCUCAAUUCACCGCUCUGGUUCAGAAUCUCCUAUGCUUUUCAUCCCCACUGCUGCAGCACCCCCAGGGCCCAUCCUUCUGUUCUAGCAUUCCUUUUGCAUUGUCUACACUGCUGCUAAUUAUAGUUUUGACCCUAAAGUCUCACUUCAUUCUUCUUAGUAUUUCUUUACCGGAUCCCCAAAGUCUUCAGGAUGAAGUCCAAACGCCUUAGUCUGACACAGAAGCCGCUUCACAACUGUGCUCGGUCAACUUUCCCACCUUCACCUUUGUGAGUAUGGUGAGAAAAAUAAACUCAACUUUGCCUCUAAUUGACCCCUUUAACUCAUCUCUCCUUACUGAUUGGUCAUCUGAAAUUCCAACCAGCUUUCUGCUCCCCACUUUGUGACCAUCUCCAAGGAAAGCUACUUUCAACUCUUUCCAGGCACCAUCAAUAGUCUCUCCUCAUUCUCAAGGGAUUGGUCCUUUUGACCCUGACCUACUGCAAAAGACCACAGUCUAUUCUCUGUGGCUUCCUUGUGAACGAGCAUCACCCUGUACAGUCUUGUAACCAACCUGUACCCCUUCUAUCUCUGUCACGAGGACUGAAGUCCUGGGAGGCCAUCUGCUCAUUUGUCAAGGUAGUCACAUCCCUCAUGUCUAUCUACUUUUCAGUCCAAAAUUUUAAAAUUGAAAUGAAACUCAAAAGUUACCUACACACCAUUUCCUAUACAUAAA